GACGAACGCUGGCGGCGUGCUUAACACAUGCAAGUCGAACGGAAAGGCCCUGCUUUUGUGGGGUGCUCGAGUGGCGAAAGGGUGAGUAACACGUGAGUAACCUGCCCUUGACUUUGGGAUAACUUCAGGAAACUGGGGCUAAUACCGGAUAGGAGCUCCUGCUGCAUGGUGGGGGUUGGAAAGUUUCGGCGGUUGGGGAUGGACCCGCGGCUUAUCAGCUUGUUGGUGGGGUAGUGGCUUACCAAGGCUUUGACGGGUCGCCGGCCUGAGAGGGUGACCGGCCACAUUGGGACUGAGAUACGGCCCAGACUCCUACGUGAGGCAGCAGUGGGGAAUAUUGCACAAUGGGCGGAAGCCUGAUGCAGCAACGCCGCGUGCGGGAUGACGGCCUUCGGGUUGUAAACCGCUUUCGCCUGUGACGAAGCGUGAGUGACGGUAAUGGGUAAAGAAGCACCGGCUAACUACGUG
This 468-nucleotide ribosomal RNA is filed under the name uncultured bacterium. RNAcentral describes it as "partial 16S ribosomal RNA". It matches the Rfam family "Bacterial small subunit ribosomal RNA", at positions 28 to 507 of the family's 1533-position model. The record is from RNAcentral.